Long non-coding RNA from Pseudophryne corroboree (corroboree frog), 685 nucleotides. RefSeq lists it as uncharacterized. NCBI's taxonomy places the organism in Eukaryota, Metazoa, Chordata, Amphibia, Anura, Myobatrachidae. The record is from RefSeq and is a predicted model, not a curated record. The transcript is spliced from 3 exons.
CGGGUUAUCCCAACAAAUCGUGGCUCUUGACCCCAUUGUCUAAGCCUGUUGGUAGAGCAGAAAAACGUUACCAAGAGACACACAAAGCAUCAAGGCAAGUAAUUGAGCGUGCCUUCGGUGUACUUAAAAGCCGGUUUAGAUGUUUAGACACUUCCGGUGGUGCUCUUUUGUACUCACCGGCGAAGGUUUGUGGCAUGGUAAAUGCAUGUUGUAUUUUACACAACAUAUGUGUCGCAAACCGUUUGCCGGUGACUCUUCGUCGCAGUGCUUUCCGACGCGGGAACCGUUCUUCUGCUCUACCGGUGGGUAUGGACGAAGGAGAUGAUUCCCGACGGACAUUGAUCCAAAGCUUUUUUUCCACUGCCUAGUUUUACGUACUGUCGACGCACCUUCCCAGGCCUGUUUUCAAAGUUUCGUCCUGUUGACGACCUGUUACCCCGUUUUUUCCUGUUGUUGGGUUGCAGCAAAUAUUGGACCCGUUUAUCCAACUCUACCAUGGACAACAUACUUGUGAUGUGGACCUGAACCUCCGCCAUGUAGCAGACAACUCCCCUCAGGUCUUGCGGAGUAUCCUUCCCAAGUUGCUUGAAUCAUCAUGGAUGAAAUGUACCAUGGGCGACCUAACACAAUACCACUGCAUCUCAUAUAUUACAUUUUAUUUACUAAUAAUUUAAAGAAAAACACA